UACGUAGGGAGCAAGCGUUGUCCGGAUUUAUUGGGCGUAAAGAGCUCGUAGGCGGUUUAGAAAGUCAGGUGUGAAACCUCCAGGCUCAACCUGGAGACGCCACUUGAUACUUCUAUGACUUGAGUUCGGUAGGGGACCAUGGAAUUCCUGGUGUAGCGGUGAAAUGCGCAGAUAUCAGGAGGAACACCGAUGGCGAAGGCAGUGGUCUGGGCCGAUACUGACGCUGAGGAGCGAAAGCGUGGGGAGCGAACAGG
Molecule: ribosomal RNA, 254 nt
Filed under: uncultured bacterium
Lineage: Bacteria
Description: partial 16S ribosomal RNA
Rfam family: Bacterial small subunit ribosomal RNA
Source: RNAcentral